GACGAACGCUGGCGGCGUGCUUAACACAUGCAAGUCGAACGGAAAGGCCCUGCUUUUGUGGGGUGCUCGAGUGGCGAACGGGUGAGUAACACGUGAGUAACCUGCCCUUGACUUUGGGAUAACUUCAGGAAACUGGGGCUAAUACCGGAUAGGAGCUCCUGCUGCAUGGUGGGGGUUGGAAAGUUUCGGCGGUUGGGGAUGGACUUGCGGCUUAUCAGCUUGUUGGUGGGGUAGUGGCUUACCAAGGCUUUGACGGGUAGCCGGCCUGAGAGGGUGACCGGCCACAUUGGGACUGAGAUACGGCGCAGACUCCUACGGGAGGCAGCGGUGGGGAGUAUUGCACAAUGGGCGGAAGCCUGAGGCAGCAACGCCGCGGGCGGGAAGACGUCCUGCGGGUUGUAAACCGCUUGCGCCUGUGACGAAGCGUGAGUGACGGUAAUGGGUAAAGAAGCACCGGCUAACUACGUG
RNAcentral lists this ribosomal RNA (468 nucleotides) under uncultured bacterium. RNAcentral's name for it is "partial 16S ribosomal RNA". It matches the Rfam family "Bacterial small subunit ribosomal RNA", at positions 28 to 507 of the family's 1533-position model. The record is from RNAcentral.